This 72-nucleotide transfer RNA is filed under the name Dipodomys ordii (Ord's kangaroo rat). It matches the Rfam family "tRNA". Rfam says of the family: Transfer RNA (tRNA) molecules are approximately 80 nucleotides in length. The record is from Rfam by way of RNAcentral. Lineage: Eukaryota; Metazoa; Chordata; Mammalia; Rodentia; Heteromyidae.
GGGAAGGUGGCUCAGUGGUAAAGUGCUUGCCUUGCAUGCAUGAGGCCCUGGGUUCGAUUCCUCAGCACCCCA